ACGUACGCCCGCAGCACCGCGUCUUCCUCAGGCCGCCACCUCUGUCGCUCCUUCAUCUGCGCAGGCCAUCGCCCAUCCCGCACCUCCACACACUCUCAUAAUGCCACCUGCUUCCAUUGCAGCCAUGGAUUCCAUACCAUGCCAUGCAGAGAGAAAAAAAGACCAGAUCUUUCUUUAGAUCAUCGCAACAUCAAUCAGUUUGAACAUUGAAAAAGAAAGAUCAAGCAAAAAGAGGCACUGGCAACUAACUAACUAUGCUAAUCUGACAUGGAUCACACAGAUGUUUCAGUCAGUGUCUUGCUACAUGCAGUGAUGCAGAACAGUGAUGGCCAUAGCAGAGAUGGGGAAGAAAGAAGAGCAACCAGGUAGAUGCCUGUUUUCAGUGGUGGUUAGCUGCUCUAAUUCAUUGCAAUGCAGCAUUCAUAACUGCCGGUUUCAGGUUGGGGGUGGCAAGAGCACUAAAGCAGGGAGAGGAGUAAUAGCUACUGUGACCUGCAAAGCUCGCUAGUCGCCACUCCUGCAGCUGCCUACAGAGACAGCAGCCAAUGCAUACUCCAGAAACAUUACUGCGGCUCUAACAAUUCUCCCACACGGUAGACAGGAUCAUCUGCAACUUCUCCAGGCAACAUUUACACUGCUAGUAGCAUGACCAAGAACAGAUUCUCCCUUUUCCACAUUUCUUUCUUGACCAAGACUAGAACUUGCAGCCUUGCAGGCAACCUAUGACAAAUGGUAGAAACUGUUCAAGAUUAACCCGUUGUAACUUUUACUAUACCAAGGUCCAAGGUAGUAAAACCUACGGGCCAUCAACCUUGACCAAGUAAUAAGGUUAACCAAACUUCAGAGCUACAGCUACCGAAGUGAAGCUCAAGCAAUCAGGCAUCCAAGGCUAAGACGCCGCUACCAAUCAGCGCGCACACAUGGAGACAAAGGUGUGGGCACGGCCACGGCCGCUACGAGCAAGCACGCGCUGUUUUCUCGCGCGCUUGUCUGGUUUCUGGAGCGGGGUCGCCAUCCGCCAUUAACGUGGCGCCUCAUCGAGGACGGAGAGCUCAAACCCGCCCGGAUUAAAUGCCAAACCUAAUACUCGUGCCUCAGGGAAAGCAAAAAGCCAACGCGGGGGGAUAUCGAGCAAAUCUCAGACAAUAAUGCCACCUUGAUGACGCCAGGACCAGCGCUAAUCCGAGCUUUGGCGCCUUUACUAAAUGCUAAUGGCAGGUUAGAGGCGGCCACUCCCAUGGAUGGCGAAGCUUUGGAGCUUGUGGAUUGGUGAAGUGAAAUUUGCAAAGGAUGGAUUAAAAUUACUGGAGUGCAUUUUUCACCUAACCGUUAAACUGUCUGUAGAAACAGGAUCCAAGACAAAACAGUUUUUUUCAAGAGAGUUGGUUUAGAGAAAACUUAUGGGGCCUAACCGUUAAGACUGAAUCUUGAACAAGAUACUGCUAGCAAACAGAGCUAAGCCUAUGCUAUAGGUGUUCAAGAUUGGUUGGUCCUACGAAAUUUAUCGUCCCGUCAAGCAUAAUGAUGGGGAAACAAAAAAAAUAGAUGUUGAAAGCAAUGUAUCAAAGCCGAAUCGAUGUGGUAUUUCUAGCGGCUAUGGCACUGACAAAUUGAAGGCAGUGGGGUUAUGCUACAGUUAGGAUGGGACUUGGAUCUGUGGUGCUUUGUACAGGUUGUGCAAUCUUUAGAUUCAGGUAAUCCAUACAGCAGCAAGUUCGUUUUCUCUUCAGAUUCCUCAUCAUUCUGCAUCCUUCUUUGGUCAUAAUUCUCGCAUAUGCAAGUGAAUAUUCCAAAGGGCACUAGAGAUGAAGAGGAAGCAGUUGAAACAAUCAUGAAGCAAUCGAACCAGAAAUGAUGAGGGAAACAUGGCAUUUCUGAAAGGGGUAAAACUCUCAAGUACAUAGUAACAUGAUGGCAUAGUUUACUUCUGAAUUUCUAGGCUUUACUAAGAAAAACGGUGAUGCCGUGCACACACUGACAAAAAAAAAAGAAUCAAAAUAACAACAAGGAUCCUAACGUAGAAAGCAUCAGUACUCAAUACUGCAUAUGCAGUAAUACUUGCCAAAAAAAGGAUUACCAGGACACCCAACAACCAGUAAAUUGAUGCAGAAAGUAGUAGACAAUAGCUGAGAACCUGCUACGAAUUAAGACGACGAAAUUUCCUACUCGCACAGUGGCACCACAAAGAAGAAAUACAGGCACAAUACUGUAACGGCAUAGGACUAACAGUCUGCCAUCAUUUUCCACACAACACAACCUAGUAUAAAACACGACCCAGGAACCAGGGAGCAAUCCUUAUCACAAGAUCAGCAUCUACCACAGUAUGUAGCACCAGGUGUAUGUGCAAGCCAAGAAACGAAUAGAUCAGGCUACUCCACAUCACAAGCAGGAGUUUUGAGAGCAAACCAUCCCCUUUUCCCUCUUAAACAACCCAAACAUCAACAAACUGAACUAAACGAGCAAGCACAAGAAAGCAGAAAACUAUCUACUAUCUUUUUCCAGAGCACAGCAACUGGCACCACUGCCACUGGAUGGUGGUAAUGAACUGAAACUAGUGAGCUGAGACGGUUGAGGAGAGCAGGGAUGCUUACAGAGGCACGGCUACACCAUCCUUUCCUUGCUCAGCAGUUCCUGCCCUCCCUCCUCUCCUUGGUUGAGUUGAGGCUGGAGGUGGAAGAAGGAAGAGGAGUCCCCCAAAUAAUUGCAGAGGUGAAGAUGACCAAGGGCCUGGCCUCUAGCAGGAGACGAGAGGAGGCAAGGGAUAGGGAGGUGCGAGCUGAAAGAUUCCUUUCCGCGGCCGGCCGGCUCGCUCGGUCACGGCGUGUGUGUGUAUGUAUAGAAGGGGAGGGAGAGGGAGGUGAGGUGGGGGACAAGGCGCAGCGAGAAA
Molecule: long non-coding RNA, 2887 nt
Filed under: Setaria italica (foxtail millet)
Lineage: Eukaryota; Viridiplantae; Streptophyta; Magnoliopsida; Poales; Poaceae
Description: long non-coding RNA (SITA_LNC002463)
Source: RNAcentral